This 65-nucleotide transfer RNA is filed under the name Teredothyra matocotana. RNAcentral describes it as "tRNA-Pro". Lineage: Eukaryota; Metazoa; Mollusca; Bivalvia; Myida; Teredinidae. The record is from RNAcentral.
UAGGUUGUAGUUUAAUUUAGAAUUUAAGCUUUGGGAGCUUUUGGUGCUGUUAUUGGUCGGCCUAA